RNAcentral lists this ribosomal RNA (387 nucleotides) under Rattus sp. RNAcentral describes it as "SSU rRNA". It matches the Rfam family "Eukaryotic small subunit ribosomal RNA", at positions 587 to 972 of the family's 1831-position model. The record is from RNAcentral. Lineage: Eukaryota; Metazoa; Chordata; Mammalia; Rodentia; Muridae.
AGCUCCAAUAGCGUAUACUAAAGUUGCUGCAGUUAAAAAGCUCGUAGUUGGAUCUUGGGAGCGGGCGGGCGGUCCGCCGCGAGGCGAGUCACCGCCCGUCCCCGCCCCUUGCCUCUCGGCGCCCCCUCGAUGCUCUUAGCUGAGUGUCCCGCGGGGCCCGAAGCGUUUACUUUGAAAAAAUUAGAGUGUUCAAAGCAGGCCCGAGCCGCCUGGAUACCGCAGCUAGGAAUAAUGGAAUAGGACCGCGGUUCUAUUUUGUUGGUUUUCGGAACUGAGGCCAUGAUUAAGAGGGACGGCCGGGGGCAUUCGUAUUGCGCCGCUAGAGGUGAAAUUCUUGGACCGGCGCAAGACGGACCAGAGCGAAAGCAUUUGCCAAGAAUGUUUUCA